AGCGAACGCUGGCGGCAGGCUUAACACAUGCAAGUCGAGCGGGCACUUUCGGGUGUCAGCGGCGGACGGGUGAGUAACGCGUGGGAACGUGCCCUCUGGUUCGGAAUAACUCAGGGAAACUUGAGCUAAUACCGGAUACGCCCUUUUGGGGAAAGGCUUGCUGCCGGAGGAUCGGCCCGCGUCUGAUUAGCUAGUUGGUGAGGUAACGGCUCACCAAGGCGACGAUCAGUAGCUGGUCUGAGAGGAUGAUCUGCCACACUGGGACUGAGACACGGCCCAGACUCCUACGGGAGGCAGCAGUGGGGAAUAUUGGACAAUGGGCGCAAGCCUGAUCCAGCCAUGCCGCGUGAGUGAUGAAGGCCUUAGGGUUGUAAAGCUCUUUUAUCCGGGACGAUAAUGACGGUACCGGAGGAAUAAGCCCCGGCUAACUUCGUG
RNAcentral lists this ribosomal RNA (435 nucleotides) under uncultured bacterium. RNAcentral describes it as "partial 16S ribosomal RNA". It matches the Rfam family "Bacterial small subunit ribosomal RNA", at positions 29 to 507 of the family's 1533-position model. The record is from RNAcentral.